Molecule: transfer RNA, 75 nt
Filed under: Methylobacterium terricola
Lineage: Bacteria; Pseudomonadati; Pseudomonadota; Alphaproteobacteria; Hyphomicrobiales; Methylobacteriaceae
Description: Methylobacterium sp. 17Sr1-39 tRNA-Pro
Source: RNAcentral
CGCUGCGGAACGCACCCGUACGUUCCCACGUUCGGGACGUGGGGGUCGCAGGUUCAAAUCCUGCCACUCCGACCA